AAUGAACGCUGGCGGCAGGCCUAACACAUGCAAGUCGAACGGGUCCUUCGGGACUAGGUGGCGGACGGGUGAGUAACGCGUGGGAACGUGCCCCUUGGUACGGAAUAGCCCCGGGAAAUGGGAGUAAUACCGUAUGUGGUCGAGAGACGAAAGAUUUAUCGCCAAGGGAUCGGCCCGCGUUGGAUUAGCUAGUUGGUGGGGUAAAGGCCCCACCAAGGCGACGAUCUGUAGCUGGUCUGAGAGGACGACCAGCCACACUGGGACUGAGACACGGCCCAGACUCCUACGGGAGGCAGCAGUGGGGAAUUUUGGACAAUGGGCGCAAGCCUGAUCCAGCAAUGCCGCGUGCAGGAAGAAGGCCUUCGGGUUGUAAACUGCUUUUGUACGGAACGAAAAGGCUCUGGUUAAUACCUGGGGCUCAUGACGGCACCGUAAGAAUAAGCACCGGCUAACUACGUG
This 459-nucleotide ribosomal RNA is filed under the name uncultured bacterium. RNAcentral's name for it is "bacterial SSU rRNA". It matches the Rfam family "Bacterial small subunit ribosomal RNA", at positions 29 to 507 of the family's 1533-position model. The record is from RNAcentral.